AUGGCGGCUGCGGGAGAUCCUCUCCAAGGUCAAGCACGUCCAGGCCAAGCCUGCUGGCCGCCCUCGCGGGUGACUGCCUCCGCGGUGACGACGGCGGCGAUCUCGUCGUCCCCACCCCCGAUUCAUCUCCAAUCCCGCCGCCGACACCCACCCCCACCCCCACCGGUGACCUCCCCUAACCCAUCACCACCGGCGACCUCCCUCCCUUGCUCCUCCCUCCCACGUCACCGCCGCCGCCACACACUGCCGAUCCCCUCACAUCCCGUACCCUCUCCAGUCCCCUCCCCUCCCCUGCCCUCAUCAAAAGAGGAAAGAAGAGGGUUAGGCGGAUCAGGCGGCCGCCAUGGCGCGACCAGAUCCGCCAUGGUUGCCCCGCGCGUUGUCCACGGGCUCGACUCUAGGGACUGGUCUGCGAGGCCCUCAACGACUCGCGCCAGCUCGCCAUCCACCACCCUGCCCUCCUUGUCCCCAUCCUGGAGAAGGUGGUGCUGGGGAUCUUGA
RNAcentral lists this ribosomal RNA (501 nucleotides) under Triticum aestivum (bread wheat). RNAcentral's name for it is "partial small subunit ribosomal RNA". Lineage: Eukaryota; Viridiplantae; Streptophyta; Magnoliopsida; Poales; Poaceae. The record is from RNAcentral.